This 682-nucleotide unclassified non-coding RNA is filed under the name uncultured Inocybe. Its description in RNAcentral is "sequence contains ITS1, 5.8S rRNA gene, ITS2". The stretch from base 216 to 369 matches the Rfam family "5.8S ribosomal RNA". Lineage: Eukaryota; Fungi; Basidiomycota; Agaricomycetes; Agaricales; Cortinariaceae. The record is from RNAcentral.
GGAAGGAUCAUUAUUGAAUAAACUUGAACAAGCUGUUGCUGGCCCCUCUUGAAGGGAUAAGUGCACGCUUGUCAUCUUUAUUUUUCCAACUGUGCACAUAUUGUAGACUCUGGAUUUAGGAUUGCUGUUCAGCUUUGCCUUGCAUUUUUUCAGAUCUAUGUUAUUUUUCACAAUCUCUGAAUGUAUCAGAACGUUGAAUAUAUGUAUAUGUAUACAACUUUCAGCAAUGGAUCUCUUGGCUCUCGCAUCGAUGAAGAACGCAGCGAAAUGCGAUAAGUAAUGUGAAUUGCAGAAUUCAGUGAAUCAUCGAAUCUUUGAACGCAUCUUGCGCUCCUUGGUAUUCCGAGGAGCAUGCCUGUUUGAGUGUCAUUCAAGUUCUCAACUACAUCUUGAUAAUGGGGUGUGGCUUUGGAUGUGGGGAUUUGCAGGCUUUUUCAUUUUUCUUUGAAAAUGAAGUCUGCUUCCCUGAAAUGAAUUAGUGGUAUCUGAGCAGAGAUGACUACUACAGGUGUGAUAAAUUAUCUAUGCCUUGGUAUUCUGCAUAAACGGAUUGCACCGCUUCUUAACGAGUGGAGAAACACAUUUGAUGAAUUUGACCUCAAAUCAGGUAGGACUACCCGCUGAACUUAAGCAUAUCAAUAAGCGGAGGAAAAGAAACUAACAAGGAUUCCCCUAGUAACUG